UACGAAGGGGGCUAGCGUUGCUCGGAAUCACUGGGCGUAAAGCGCACGUAGGCGGAUCUUUAAGUCAGGGGUGAAAUCCCGGGGCUCAACCUCGGAACUGCCCUUGAUACUGGGGAUCUCGAGUCCGGAAGAGGUUGGUGGAACUCCGAGUGUAGAGGUGAAAUUCGUAGAUAUUCGGAAGAACACCAGUGGCGAAGGCGGCCAACUGGUCCGGCACUGACGCUGAGGUGCGAAAGCGUGGGGAGCAAACAGG
RNAcentral lists this ribosomal RNA (253 nucleotides) under uncultured bacterium. Its description in RNAcentral is "partial 16S ribosomal RNA". It matches the Rfam family "Bacterial small subunit ribosomal RNA", at positions 524 to 776 of the family's 1533-position model. The record is from RNAcentral.